UACGUAGGGUGCGAGCGUUGUCCGGAAUUAUUGGGCGUAAAGAGCUUGUAGGCGGUUUGUCGCGUCUGCUGUGAAAAUCCGGGGCUCAACCCCGGACUUGCAGUGGGGUACGGGCAGACUAGAGUGUGGUAGGGGAGACUGGAAUUCCUGGUGUAGCGGUGAAAUGCGCAGAUAUCAGGGAGGAACACCGGUGGCGAAGGCGGGUCUCUGGGCCGAUACUGACGCUGGAGGAGCGAAAAGCGUGGGGAGCGAACAGG
RNAcentral lists this ribosomal RNA (257 nucleotides) under uncultured bacterium. RNAcentral describes it as "partial 16S ribosomal RNA". It matches the Rfam family "Bacterial small subunit ribosomal RNA", at positions 524 to 776 of the family's 1533-position model. The record is from RNAcentral.